RNAcentral lists this long non-coding RNA (777 nucleotides) under Urocitellus parryii (Arctic ground squirrel). RNAcentral's name for it is "lncRNA (ENSUPAG00010011876.1)". Lineage: Eukaryota; Metazoa; Chordata; Mammalia; Rodentia; Sciuridae. The record is from RNAcentral.
CUGCUCCCUCCCCCGCUGAGCCCGGCUGGUCGCUGCGCUCUCGGUUCCCGCGGGCUUUCCUGGCGACGGCCUCCCCCCUUCUGUCCUGGGGUCUUGCUCCUCUCCCUCUUCUUUUCUYCACGUCUCUCCUCUCCCUCUUCGUUUCUUUACGCCUCUCCCCCUCCUGCUUUCCGCCUGUUCCGGGAGCCGAGCCCGGUCGCCUGGCUGCGCCGUGCAGCCGAGCGAGGCCCCCAGGUCCCUGUGGAACUGCGCUCCCCCUGCCUCCAACUCCCUCCAUCAUCCGACGUGUUCUUUUCUUCACUGCUCAUUUCUUUCUUCCCUGAAAUAGGAGGCAGCUAGUCCCUUCUCCAUUCUCCUUGUUUUCAGUCUGUACUGUUUCUCCCUUUCGCCACCCCACCCCACUCCUUGGUUUCCCCCUUGUCCCCGCCCUCCCACCUUCUCCCUAAAMUCAGCCCGAUGGAACAGUGAGAGGGCGAAGAUAAAAAUGGCAAAUGUCAGUGUCAACACUGUUAUUGUUUUUGGUUGCUGAAACGGAAGAUGAACUGGAAUGCCCAAAUCAACUCAGACCCAGGACCAAGAUUGAGUUCUUAAAAUUGCAAACUUCAAAAUUGAUCCUUGCAGAAGUUAGAAGUCUGAGUCUGAACUUCUUCCCCUGUGAAGUGAGGCUGACCUGGCCCUGACUACACUCAGGAUUAUGAGGAUCAAAUGAGGUAAUGUUUAUCUGAAGGGCUUGGGAAAGUAGCAAAAAAUGCUAUUGUUAUGCAAAGCAUUUUUUUU